CCUACGGGAGGCUGCAGUGGGGAAUAUUGCACAAUGGGGGAAACCCUGAUGCAGCGACGCCGCGUGAGUGAAGAAGUAUUUCGGUAUGUAAAGCUCUAUCAGCAGGGAAGAAAAUGACGGUACCUGUUUAAGAAGCCCCGGCUAACUACGUGCCAGCAGCCGCGGUAAUACGUAGGGGGCAAGCGUUAUCCGGAUGUACUGGGUGUAAAGGGAGCGUAGACGGCAGCACAAGUCUGGAGUGAAAUGCCGGGGCUUAACCCCGGAACGGCUUUGGAAACUGUGCAGCUAGAGUGCAGGAGAGGUAAGUGGAAUUCCUGGUGUAGCGGUGAAAUGCGUAGAUAUUAGGAGGAACACCAGUGGCGAAGGCGGCUUACUGGACUGUAACUGACGUUGAGGCUCGAAAGCGUGGGGAGCAAACAGGAUUAGAUACCCCAGUAGUC
RNAcentral lists this ribosomal RNA (440 nucleotides) under uncultured bacterium. RNAcentral's name for it is "partial 16S ribosomal RNA". It matches the Rfam family "Bacterial small subunit ribosomal RNA", at positions 338 to 795 of the family's 1533-position model. The record is from RNAcentral.